RNAcentral lists this ribosomal RNA (482 nucleotides) under uncultured bacterium. RNAcentral describes it as "partial 16S ribosomal RNA". It matches the Rfam family "Bacterial small subunit ribosomal RNA", at positions 28 to 507 of the family's 1533-position model. The record is from RNAcentral.
GACGAACGCUGGCGGCGUGCUUAACACAUGCAAGUCGAACGAUGAAGAAGAGAAACGCGAACUUCGGUUCAAAUUUCACUUCGGAUUAGAGGCAGACGGGUGAGUAACGCGUGAGCAACCUACCUCUUACAAAGGGAUAGCCUCGGGAAACCGUGAUUAAUACCUUAUGACACAUUCAUAAGGCAUCUUAAGAAUGUUAAAGCUACGGCGGUAAGAGAUGGGCUCGCGUCCCAUUAGCUAGUUGGUGAGGUAACGGCCCACCAAGGCGACGAUGGGUAACCGGCCUGAGAGGGUGAACGGUCACAUUGGAACUGAGACACGGUCCAAACUCCUACGGGAGGCAGCAGUGGGGAAUAUUGCACAAUGGAGGGAACUCUGAUGCAGCGACGCCGCGUGAGCGAUGAAGGAAUUCGUUUCGUAAAGCUCUGUUCUAUGGGAAGAAAAGGACUGUACCAUAGGAGAAAGCCCCGGCUAAAUACGUG